This is a microRNA precursor of Oryza sativa Indica Group (long-grained rice), 194 nucleotides long. It matches the Rfam family "MIR812 microRNA precursor family". The record is from Rfam. Lineage: Eukaryota; Viridiplantae; Streptophyta; Magnoliopsida; Poales; Poaceae.
AAUAAACGUAGUUAUAGUUUCAGUGUUUAAUUUUAACCAUCUGUCUUAUUUGAAAUAUUUUUAUGAUUAGUAUUUUUAUUAUUGUUAGAUGAUAAAAUAUGAAUAGUAACUUAACUUUUAAAACUUUUUCAUAAAUUUUUCAAAUAAGACGGAUGGUUAAAUAUUGGGCAUAGAAAUUUUUAGCUACGCUUAUA